GACGAACGCUGGCGGCGUGCUUAACACAUGCAAGUCGAACGGAAAGGCCCUGCUUGCCGGGUACUCGAGUGGCGAACGGGUGAGUAACACGUGGGUGAUCUGCCCUGCACUUCGGGAUAAGCCUGGGAAACUGGGUCUAAUACCGGAUAGGAGCCAUUUUUAGUGUGAUGGUUGGAAAGUUUUUUCGGUGUAGGAUGAGCUCGCGGCCUAUCAGCUUGUUGGUGGGGUAAUGGCCUACCAAGGCGGCGACGGGUAGCCGGCCUGAGAGGGUGGACGGCCACAUUGGGACUGAGAUACGGCCCAGACUCCUAAGGGAGGCAGCAGCGGGGAAUAUUGCACAAUGGGCGCAAGCCGGAUGCAGCGACGCCGCGUGGGGGAUGACGGCCUUCGGGUUGUAAACUCCUUUCGCUAGGGACGAAGCUUUUUGUGACGGUACCUAGAUAAGAAGCACCGGCUAACUACGUG
This 465-nucleotide ribosomal RNA is filed under the name uncultured bacterium. RNAcentral describes it as "partial 16S ribosomal RNA". It matches the Rfam family "Bacterial small subunit ribosomal RNA", at positions 28 to 507 of the family's 1533-position model. The record is from RNAcentral.